RNAcentral lists this long non-coding RNA (1777 nucleotides) under Strigops habroptila (Kakapo). Its description in RNAcentral is "lncRNA (ENSSHBG00005000049.1)". Lineage: Eukaryota; Metazoa; Chordata; Aves; Psittaciformes; Psittacidae. The record is from RNAcentral.
UAAUCCAAUUAAAAUUUUAUUAAUUAUAGCAAGUAGAAUAUGAGCAAAAACAGCGCUGGACGACAGGGGAGUCUGCGCUCCGCCACUGCCGUGCUGAGCAGUUCAAACAGUCCCUUUUUAUACAUCUUUACUUCCGUGUUCAUGAAGUAGUGGAGGUACUCUGCGCAUGCUUCAGUUGUGGUUAGGGGGUCGUUUUCUACCUCCUGGUGGUCGUUGAGGCCGAAGUAAGAAGUCUUCCUCCUUUAUCCCAUAGUUGACCCCUCAUUCACAUGUCCUUAUCUGGGGUUGUUUGUCCUGUUUCUGUCGGUUCCUGGAAGUCUGGCGGUUAUCUCGCGAUUGUGGUUAUCUUAUCUUACUCAAGCAGUGUCCGAGUUUCUGUCUGCAUAAGCGAUUUCACAUCUUUGUUGCCUAACCUUUACAUUGAGCUUAACAUAAAUCUUAAUAAACAAUAUACUAGUCCAUAGUUUCUCACAAUCCCCCCUUUUUCUUUUUAUCCUAUUAUUGUUUAUUAGACGUUACUUUCAUUUUCGGCACUGCGAACAAACCUAAUCCCAACAUUUAUCAUAACACUCACAAGGUAAUACCUCACAAUUACAAAAGGCAUAGUUCUCGCGUGGCAUAAUGCAUUCACAACAAUCUUCAUCUUCAUUAAUAGAUACACUCUUAUAUUUUGCCCCAGACCUCGUAGUUAAAAUAAGCAGUUUAGCUAUGUCAAACCGUUCUUUAAUAAAGUGUAAAAAUAUAGCGUAAUAUACAAGGCCCAAAUAUGAGUCCCAAAAUCAACAUGAUAAGCGGUCCUGCUAAGGCGGACAACAAAGUGGUUAGCCAAGGUGAAACAUUAAACCAGUUUUCGUACCAUGACUUGCCCGCCUCACGAUCUUUCUUACGUUGAUCUAACCUUUUCCGGAGUUCAGACAUGGUGUCCUGGACUACUCCAGUAUGGUCAGCAAAAGAGCAACAUUCUUCAUUGAGAGCUACACAUAACCCUCCUUCCUUUAAAAACAAUAGAUCUAAUCCUCUUCUAUUUUGCAACAAUAACAAACAUAAAAUACACUUUAUUAAAGAACGGUUUGACAUAGCUAAACUGCUUAUUUUAACUACGAGGUCUGGGGCAAAAUAUAAGAGUGUAUCUAUUAAUGAAGAUGAAGAUUGCUGUGAAUACAUUAUGCCACGUGAGAACUAUGCCUUUUGUAAUUGUGAGGUAUUACCUUGUGAGUGUUAUGAUAAAUAUUGGGAUUGUGGAAAAAGGUUUGUUCGCAGUGCCGAAAAUGAAAGUAACGUCUAAUAAACAAUAAUAGGAUAAAAAGAAAAAGGGGGGAUUGUGAGAAACUAUGGACUAGGAUAUUGUUUAUUAAGAUUUAUGUUAAGCUCAAUGUAAAGGUCAGGCAACAAAGAUGUGAAAUCGCUUAUGCAAACAGAAACCCGGACACUGCUUGAGUAAGAUAAGAUAACCACAAUCGCGAGAUAACCGCCAGACUUCCAGGAACCGACAGAAACAGGACAAACAACCCCAGAUAAGGACAUGUGAAUGAGGGGUCAACUAUGGGAUAAAGGAGAAAGACUUCUUAUUUCGGCCUCAACGACCACCAGGAGGUAGAAAACGACCCCCUAACAACAACUGAAGCAUGCGCAGAGUACCUCCACUACUUCAUGAACACGGAAGUAAAGAUGUAUAAAAAGGGACUGUUUGAACUGCUCAGCACGGCAGUGGCGGAGCGCAGACUCCCCUGUCGUCCAGCGCUGUUUUUGCUCAUAUUCUACUUGCUAUAAUUAAUAA